RNAcentral lists this ribosomal RNA (253 nucleotides) under uncultured bacterium. Its description in RNAcentral is "partial 16S ribosomal RNA". It matches the Rfam family "Bacterial small subunit ribosomal RNA", at positions 524 to 776 of the family's 1533-position model. The record is from RNAcentral.
UACGGAGGGUGCAAGCGUUAUCCGGAUUCACUGGGUUUAAAGGGUGCGUAGGCGGCUUAAUAAGUCAUUGGUGAAAGCUCGCAGCUCAACUGCGAAACUGCCAUUGAAACUGUUUAGCUUGAAUGUGGUUGAAGUGGGCGGAAUACAACAUGUAGCGGUGAAAUGCUUAGAUAUGUUUUAGAACACCGAUUGCGAAGGCACCUCACUAAGCCAAUAUUGACGCUGAGGCACGAAAGCGUGGGUAGCAAACAGG